UCAUGAGCGAAUUUAGGCAGC
RNAcentral lists this non-coding RNA (21 nucleotides) under Caenorhabditis elegans. The record is from RNAcentral. Lineage: Eukaryota; Metazoa; Nematoda; Chromadorea; Rhabditida; Rhabditidae.